AAAGGCUAUUUCACAGUGUAAAGACAAAGAAUUGCAUGCUUCAUGAAAAGGAUUUUAUCUCUCUGCAGAGUGAUUCUCGGGACAGCAACCAAGUGCAUCGUCAUCAAGUCCACUGGGGAUGAUGCUACUUACAACAGCUCAGCACACAUCGCACACUUAUUGCCAUGCGUCUUCCCAUCAGGACCAAGAACAGGAUCAUUUUCCCUUGUGCAUCCAAGUCUUCCAUCUUUAACAAAGGGCCGAAAAGCACUGCAUACAUCCUGAAGAACAGGGAGAAGAACUUGAAACUUACCAAGAUUGUAAUGCUGACAACACUGUUUUCAGAAAUUUUACUGAACUCAGUCCCUCUGACAUUGCUAUGGGCCACUUAGAGCAGUACCAGCUGUGUAGAUGUAGCUCAGUGGUGGAUCACAACCUACAGAAAACACCUCUUCCUAAUGUUGACAAUGCCUGAGACCUUACAGAUAGAUUCCUGACCUGGUGAAGUGGCA
This 491-nucleotide long non-coding RNA is filed under the name Pan troglodytes (chimpanzee). Its description in RNAcentral is "long non-coding RNA NONPTRT014289". The record is from RNAcentral. Lineage: Eukaryota; Metazoa; Chordata; Mammalia; Primates; Hominidae.